CCGCCCUCAUGAUGGCUUCCACACAGACCGCGCCGCAACCUGUCGGGAGACGGGGGUCCUCAGAGCCCCUUUAGGGUCGGACUCGGGGCUGCGGCGGCCCCGCGGCGGCGGCAGGAGAGCGGAGCCCCUGGAUGGACUCUUCCCGGAAGGUUUGCUGAUUUGCAGCAGCUGGGCAAUGUUCCUCAUUAACAUCUGUCUGUGCGCAUAGUCGUCACAUAACUUCACUGUGGUGGCAGGGACUCAUCUCCGAAUUCUAUAUAGAAAAAGCAUCUGGAUCCCAGUUUUUCAAUGGCUUCAAGACAACCAGAAGUACCUGCACUUGAGCCUAGUGGGCCUCUAGGCAAGAUGUCCCUGCCCAUCGGGAUAUGCCGCCGGGCAUUCAGCUAUGACGAUGCCCUUGAGGACCCUGCGUCCAUGACUCCUCCUCCAUCAGACAUGGGCAGCAUCCCUGGAAGCCAGGAUCCAGAGCGCAAGUAUCAGCACCUCGCCAAGGUGGAGGAAGGAGAAGCCAGUGUAUCCUCCCUUGCCAUGACCCUGCCACGCCACUGAACAGUGCAGACAAGGCCUGUGUGUGAAGGCCUAAAUGCUCACCAUGUCAUCAUGAAAUCUCUGGCACCAAGCAGACCCAGGAAGCACCAGGUGAACACAGUGCAGGGCUGGAGAGUCGGCACACACCCCACAAUGUGGCGCUUCACCUACCUUUUUUUUUUUUUUUUUUUUGUGUAGCACUGCACAAACUAAAGCUACAGAGUGGAGAGAUAACAAAAGAAGAGAAGCAGCCUGCGUCAGCCCAGUCCACCCCAAGCAGCACCCCUCAUUCUUCCCCUAAGCACAGGCCCAGAGGCUGGUUCACUUCCGGCUCUUCCACAGCCUUACCUGGCCCCAAUCCUGGUACCAUGGAUUCUGGAAGUGGGGAUAAGGACAGAAACCCAUCAGAUAAAUGGAGCUUCUUUGGAACAAGACCCCUCCAGAAGUAUGAUUCAGGAAGUUUUGCCACACAAGCCUACCGAGGAGCCCAGAAACCCUCUCCAAUGGAACUGAUCCGAGCCCAGGCCACGAGAAUGGCUGAAGAUCCAGCAACCUUCAAGCCACCCAAGAUGGACGUGCCCGUGACGGAAGGGAAGACGAAACCCCGCGACCCACAGCCUCAAACCCCGGGACCUGAAUGUGCUCACACCACUGUCUUAG
Molecule: non-coding RNA, 1188 nt
Organism: Microcebus murinus (gray mouse lemur)
Lineage: Eukaryota; Metazoa; Chordata; Mammalia; Primates; Cheirogaleidae
Source: RefSeq, a predicted model, not a curated record